CCUACGGGAGGCAGCAGUGGGGAAUAUUGCACAAUGGGGGAAACCCUGAUGCAGCAACGCAGCGUGAAGGAAGACGGUUUUCGGAUUGUAAACUUCUGUUCUUAGUGAAGAAUAAUGACGGUAGCUAAGGAGCAAGCCACGGCUAACUACGUGCCAGCAGCCGCGGUACUACGUAGGUGGCAAGCGUUGUCCGGAAUUACUGGGUGUAAAGGGAGCGCAGGCGGGAAGCCAAGUCAGCUGUGAAAACUACGGGCUUAACUUGUAGACUGCAGUUGAAACUGGUUUUCUUGAGUGAGGUAGAGGUUGGCGGAAUUCCGAGUGUAGCGGUGAAAUGCGUAGAUAUUCCGAGGAACACCGAGUGCGAAGGCGGCCAGCUGGGCCUUAACUGACGCUGAUGCUCGAAAGUGUGGGGAGCAAACAGGAUUAGAUACCCCUGUAGUC
RNAcentral lists this ribosomal RNA (441 nucleotides) under uncultured bacterium. RNAcentral's name for it is "partial 16S ribosomal RNA". It matches the Rfam family "Bacterial small subunit ribosomal RNA", at positions 338 to 795 of the family's 1533-position model. The record is from RNAcentral.